GUUUGAUCCUGGCUCAGAUUGAACGCUGGCGGCAUGCCUUACACAUGCAAGUCGAACGGCAGCAUGGGUGCUUGCACCUGAUGGCGAGUGGCGAACGGGUGAGUAAUGCAUCGGAACGUACCCGGAAGUGGGGGAUAACGUAGCGAAAGUUACGCUAAUACCGCAUAUUCUGUGAGCAGGAAAGCGGGGGAUCGCAAGACCUCGCGCUUCCGGAGCGGCCGAUGUCGGAUUAGCUAGUUGGCGGGGUAAAGGCCCACCAAGGCAACGAUCCGGUAGCGGGUCUGAGAGGAUGAUCCGCCACACUGGGACUGAGACACGGCCCAGACUCCUACGGGAGGCAGCAGUGGGGAAUUUUGGACAAUGGGGGCAACCCUGAUCCAGCCAUGCCGCGUGAGUGAAGAAGGCC
Molecule: ribosomal RNA, 406 nt
Filed under: uncultured bacterium
Lineage: Bacteria
Description: bacterial SSU rRNA
Rfam family: Bacterial small subunit ribosomal RNA
Source: RNAcentral